Molecule: ribosomal RNA, 301 nt
Filed under: uncultured bacterium
Lineage: Bacteria
Description: partial 16S ribosomal RNA
Rfam family: Bacterial small subunit ribosomal RNA
Source: RNAcentral
CAGCAGCCGCGGUAACACGUAGGGUGCGAGCGUUAAUCGGAAUUACUGGGCGUAAAGCGUGCGCAGGCGGUUGUGUAAGACAGGUGUGAAAUCCCCGGGCUUAACCUGGGAACUGCGCUUGUGACUGCACAGCUAGAGUAUGGCAGAGGGGGGUGGAAUUCCACGUGUAGCAGUGAAAUGCGUAGAGAUGUGGAGGAACACCGAUGGCGAAGGCAGCCCCCUGGGCCAAUACUGACGCUCAUGCACGAAAGCGUGGGGAGCAAACAGGAUUAGAUACCCGUGUAGUCCCUGUCUCUUAUAC